Molecule: ribosomal RNA, 536 nt
Filed under: uncultured bacterium
Lineage: Bacteria
Description: bacterial SSU rRNA
Rfam family: Bacterial small subunit ribosomal RNA
Source: RNAcentral
AAUAGAUACCCCGGUAGUCCACGCCGUAAACGGUGGCGCUAGGUGUGGGGGACUUUCCACGUCCUCGUGUGCCGCAGCUAACGCAUUAAGCGCCCCGCCUGGGGAGUACGGCCGCAAGGCUAAAACUCAAAGGAAUUGACGGGGGCCCGCACAAGCGGCGGAGCAUGUGGCUUAAUUCGACGCAACGCGAAGAACCUUACCAAGGCUUGACAUGCAGGGAAAUCUCGUAGAGAUACGGGGUCCGCAAGGGCUCUGCACAGGUGGUGCAUGGUUGUCGUCAGCUCGUGUCGUGAGAUGUUGGGUUAAGUCCCGCAACGAGCGCAACCCUUGUCCUAUGUUGCCAGCGAGUAAUGUCGGGGACUCAUAGGAGACUGCCGGGGUCAACUCGGGAGGAAGGUGGGGAUGACGUCAAAUCAUCAUGCCCCUUAUGUCUUGGGCUGCACACAUGCUACAAUGGUCGGUACAAGGGCUGCGAGACCGCAAGGUGGAGCGAAUCCCAAAAAGCCGGCCUCAGUUCGGAUUGGGGUCUGCUAACG